Long non-coding RNA from Mugil cephalus (flathead mullet), 391 nucleotides. RefSeq lists it as uncharacterized. The record is from RefSeq and is a predicted model, not a curated record. The transcript is spliced from 3 exons. Lineage: Eukaryota; Metazoa; Chordata; Actinopteri; Mugiliformes; Mugilidae.
CGUUAGAUGAUGAUACGUUAGUUUCGUAGUAAUGUUGAGAACUAUCUAAAUGUUGGUCAUUAAUGUUAAAAACCUGUUCUACAUUUCUAAUCUAAUUUUACGUGUCAACAUUUAAGAGGACGACGUCCCGGCCACAGAUAUUCCUCUCUCUUAUGUUUAUAUUGGAGUCACUAUAUUCAUCAUAGUAAUUUGCAUCAUCCUGGGAUUUAUCAACAGGAAAACUUGCCUCGGAGAAGAAAUUGAACACAUGACCACAGCACUGUACACGGAAGUGGAAUACACCGAGUGAGACGGGGCUUAAAGUUUUAUAUAUGUUUCAUUUCUUCUGUCUUACUGACAAACCUACUGUCUUGAACAACACAUAAAAUAAUAAAAGAAAUUGUUAAACAAA